GAAAUAGGACGGCUUUCCUAUUUUGUUGGUUUCUAGGGGAGCCGUAAUGAUUAAUAGGGUCAGUCGGGGGCAUCAGUAUUCAAUUGUUCAGAGGUGAAAUUCUUGGAUUUAUUGAAGACUAACUACUGCGAAAGCAUUUGCCAAGGAUGUUUUCAUUAAUCAGUGAACGAAAGUUAGGGGAUCGAAGACGAUCAGAUACCGUCGUAGUCUUAACCAUAAACUAUGCCGACUAGGGAUCGGGCGAUGUUACUAUCUUGACUCGCCCGGCACCUUACGAGAAAUCAAAGUUUUUGGGUUCUGGGGGGGAGUAUGGUCGCAAGGCUGAAACUUAAAGAAAUUGACGGAAGGGCACCACAAGGCGUGGAACCUGCGGCUUAAUUUGACUCAACACGGGGAAACUCACCAGGUCCAGAUACAAGUAGGAUUGACAGAUUGAGAGCUCUUUCUUGAUUUUGUAGUUGGUGGUGCAUGGCCGCCGUUCUUAGUUGGUGGAGUGAUUUGUCUGCUUAAUUGCGAUAACGAACGAGACCUUAACCUGCUAAAUAGCCCGGCUCGCUUUGGCGGGUCGCCGGCUUCUUAGAGGGACUAUCGGCUCAAGCCGAUGGAAGUUUGAGGCAAUAACAGGUCUGUGAUGCCCUUAGAUGUUCUGGGCUGCACGCGCGUUACACUGACAGAGCCAUCGAGUUUUUUUCCUUGGCCGGAAGGUCUGGGUUUUCUUGUUAAACUCUGUCGUGC
Molecule: ribosomal RNA, 735 nt
Filed under: uncultured fungus
Lineage: Eukaryota; Fungi
Description: SSU rRNA
Rfam family: Eukaryotic small subunit ribosomal RNA
Source: RNAcentral